Molecule: ribosomal RNA, 1593 nt
Filed under: Triticum aestivum (bread wheat)
Lineage: Eukaryota; Viridiplantae; Streptophyta; Magnoliopsida; Poales; Poaceae
Description: partial small subunit ribosomal RNA
Source: RNAcentral
AUGACCACGAAUUUCUUCAAAAAUCUGUACACCAAAGAAGAAGGGCUUAAUCCCAAAGUCAUUGUGAACUGUCUUACCGAAAGAGUGACAAAUGAUAUGAACUCAUCGCCGCUCAAGGAAUUCUCAGAAAAGGAAGUUAGCGAUGCGCUGUUUCAAAUUGGACCUCUCAAAGCGCCCGGUCCUGACGGCUUCCCGGCUAGGGUUUUUCAAAGGAAUUGCAGUACGGUCAAGAAGGACGUGGUGAAUGCGGUUCUAAAUUUUUUCAGGGAGGGUGUCAUGCGAGAGGGAACCAACGAUACAAUCAUUGUGCUUAUACCCAAUAAAAACAACCUAGGGCACUUGAAAGACUUCCAUCCCAUAAGCCUGUGUAAUGUGGUCUACAAGGUUAUCUCGAAAUGCAUGGUAAACCGCCUGGGACCCAUUUUGGAUGAUCUUAUUUCAGAGACACAAAGUGCCUUCAUCCUAGGGCGUUUGACUACGGACAACACUACUAUUGCAUUUGAGUGUUUCCAUAAGAUCCAACAUAGCAAACAGGCUGCUAACACCCAUUGUGCUUUCAACUUGGAUUUGGCGAAAGCGUACGACAGGGUGUACUGGGGUUUCUUGGAAGAGGCCCUGUUGAAGCUUGGUUUCAAUCGCAAAUGGGUGGAUUGGGUGAUGUGUUGUGUGAAAUCUGUGAGGUAUUCUAUUAAAUACAAUGGUGAGCUCCUUGAUACCUUCGCCCCCUCUAGAGGACUUCAGCAGGGUGACCCGCUAAGCCCUUACCUUUUCCUUUUCGUUGCGGAGGGACUAACCUGUCUGUUGGACACAGAGAUUUGGUCUGGAAUUAUAACUCCCAUUAAAAUUGCUAGGGGUUGCCCUAGGACUUCAAAUCUACUAUUCACCGACGACAACCUUCUCUUUUUCAAAGCUUCAGUAGAGGAGGCCGAGAGGGUGAAACAAGUCCUAAUUGAUUUCCAAAAGGGCUCGGGACAGCUUCUCAGUUUUAGCAAGUGUUCUUUACUUUUCAGUGAGUUGUGCCCAGUGGAGGUCCAAAAAGAAAUCAAAAGGGUGCUUGAUAUCACGUCCUCGUCCUUUGAAAGCUAGUAUUUAGGACUUCCCACGCCAGAAGGACGUAUGAAAGAUUCCAUGUUCCAACCUAUCAUGGAGAGAUUCAUCAAGGGAUGCUUAGAUUGGUUUGAAAGAUUUAUGUCACAUGCAACGAAAGAGCUUCUAGUUAAGUCAGCCCUCCAAGCCCUCCCAACUUACUGCAUGGGGGUCUUCAAAAUGACCAAGGGUUUCUGCGAGAGAUACGAGAAACUGAUAUGGGACUUCUGGUGGGGCGAUUAAAAUGGCCACAGGAAAGAUCAUUGGAUGUCCUGGGAGCGCAUGAUAAAGCCAAAAAGAGGAGGAGGCAUCGGUUUUAAAGAUAUGAAGCUCUUCAACCAAGCUCUGCUCGCACGACAAGCCUGGAGGUUGAUUCAAAGGCCGGAUACCUUGUGCGCAAGAAUUCUUAAAUCCAAGUACUACCCGUUUGGUGAGCUAUUGGAUAUGGUGUUUGCAACGAAUGCCUCUCCGGUUUGGCGGGGAAUUGAACAUGGGCUUGAGCUUCUC